Molecule: long non-coding RNA, 568 nt
Organism: Silurus meridionalis
Lineage: Eukaryota; Metazoa; Chordata; Actinopteri; Siluriformes; Siluridae
Exons: 2
Source: RefSeq, a predicted model, not a curated record
AUACGACCACCCAACAGCUGCGAUUGAGGACAGUUAAGAUUAUAUAUGAUGUAAAUAUAUUGAGGGUUUGUCAAGUCUUCCAGGCCAUAAAAUCCACUCUAAUGACCCCACGUGCUCUCCAUGAACCAGUCGCUGGUCCUGCUUAAGGCAAUUGGCAUAAAUAACCCUCAAAACUUCAAAAUACGUGGACAGAAAGCUAAAAAGGCGGCCUUCUUUAAAAAAGCAACUUAGUAGCCACAGUUGCAGAGAAAGUGUGUGUAAUAGUCAAGAGAGUGUGUGUUGAAAGUAGGAACGCCAUGGAGAUUUCGAGAAGCCCAAGUUUAGACAGAGACCCAAGGCGAUAUUACAGAAGACAGAAGAUUCUACUUUACAACCAGCAGCAAAAUUCACAGCAUUGAAUCAAUCACAAAUAAAACUCUACCUGGAAUGCAUUGCUUUUUAAUAAAGGAAAUUGCUAAAUAUAACUAAAGUCACCCGUCGUGCAAACACACACCAUGCUGUCUGUUGUGUCAAAGACGUCUGUUUAACUUUUAUCUUUAAAUAUGAAUAAAGAAACUGACAAAAACUA